This 253-nucleotide ribosomal RNA is filed under the name uncultured bacterium. RNAcentral describes it as "partial 16S ribosomal RNA". It matches the Rfam family "Bacterial small subunit ribosomal RNA", at positions 524 to 776 of the family's 1533-position model. The record is from RNAcentral.
UACAGAGGUCUCAAGCGUUGUUCGGAUUCAUUGGGCGUAAAGGGUGCGUAGGCGGCGCGGUAUGUCGGGUGUGAAAUUUCGGAGCUUAACUCCGAAACUGCAUUCGAUACUGCCGUGCUUGAGGACUGGAGAGGAGACUGGAAUUUACGGUGUAGCGGUGAAAUGCGUAGAUAUCGUAAGGAAGACCAGUGGCGAAGGCGGGUCUCUGGACAGUUCCUGACGCUGAGGCACGAAGGCCAGGGGAGCAAACGGG